GGAAAAGUUGUCAUUGGCAGGACAAGACAAUUGCUAAUUGUCGCUCAGGCUUAGAUGUUCGAUUCAUCUCUUUUCCG
RNAcentral lists this transfer RNA (77 nucleotides) under Tuber brumale (winter truffle). RNAcentral's name for it is "tRNA-Ser". RNAcentral also lists the same sequence under 1 other name. The record is from RNAcentral. Lineage: Eukaryota; Fungi; Ascomycota; Pezizomycetes; Pezizales; Tuberaceae.